This 581-nucleotide ribosomal RNA is filed under the name Photobacterium swingsii. Its description in RNAcentral is "bacterial SSU rRNA". It matches the Rfam family "Bacterial small subunit ribosomal RNA", at positions 78 to 652 of the family's 1533-position model. Lineage: Bacteria; Pseudomonadati; Pseudomonadota; Gammaproteobacteria; Vibrionales; Vibrionaceae. The record is from RNAcentral.
GCUUGCUACUUCGCUGACGAGCGGCGGACGGGUGAGUAAUGCCUGGGAAUAUGCCUUGAUGUGGGGGAUAACUAUUGGAAACGAUAGCUAAUACCGCAUAAUGCCUACGGGCCAAAGAGGGGGAUCUUCGGACCUCUCGCGUCAAGAUUAGCCCAGGUGGGAUUAGCUAGUUGGUGGGGUAAAGGCUCACCAAGGCGACGAUCCCUAGCUGGUCUGAGAGGAUGAUCAGCCACACUGGAACUGAGACACGGUCCAGACUCCUACGGGAGGCAGCAGUGGGGAAUAUUGCACAAUGGGGGAAACCCUGAUGCAGCCAUGCCGCGUGUAUGAAGAAGGCCUUCGGGUUGUAAAGUACUUUCAGCAGUGAGGAAGGUGGUAGUGUUAAUAGCACUAUCAUUUGACGUUAGCUGCAGAAGAAGCACCGGCUAACUCCGUGCCAGCAGCCGCGGUAAUACGGAGGGUGCGAGCGUUAAUCGGAAUUACUGGGCGUAAAGCGCAUGCAGGCGGUCUGUUAAGCAAGAUGUGAAAGCCCGGGGCUCAACCUCGGAACAGCAUUUUGAACUGGCAGACUAGAGUCUUGU